UAAAAAUUUGACCUACUGAAA
RNAcentral lists this non-coding RNA (21 nucleotides) under Caenorhabditis elegans. The record is from RNAcentral. Lineage: Eukaryota; Metazoa; Nematoda; Chromadorea; Rhabditida; Rhabditidae.